AAUAAGUUGAGUGUCUUCCUACA
Molecule: non-coding RNA, 23 nt
Filed under: Arabidopsis thaliana (thale cress)
Lineage: Eukaryota; Viridiplantae; Streptophyta; Magnoliopsida; Brassicales; Brassicaceae
Source: RNAcentral